Molecule: ribosomal RNA, 113 nt
Filed under: Pseudomonadota bacterium
Lineage: Bacteria; Pseudomonadati; Pseudomonadota
Source: RNAcentral
CCUGAUGACCAUAGCGAGGUGGUCCCACUCCUUCCCAUCCCGAACAGGACAGUGAAACGCUUCUGCGCCGAUGAUAUUGCGGGUUCCCGUGUGAAAGUAGGACAUCGUCAGGC